CUGUCCUCCUCUUCACUCUCAAUGCCUUGCAAUUACUCAAACUCUGAGUUAGUCAUAUUCAGGUUAGAUUUGUAAUGACGUGGUGGGGAAAAUUGUCCAAUUUCAGCCUGCCUAACCACCAGGGUCGGUGAAUAUCACCUGCAUACCUUCUGGUGUGUGCACAAAUACAGAAACGUUCAUCAACAGAGUCACAGCCCGACGUACGAUGCCGUAUGGUCGAUAAAUAGAACGGCCGUACAUCCAUCUUUCCGUUUCUUCUUUUUCACCUCUUGAAUCUUGGAGAUCUACAUCACAGCUAUUGGUUUUGAUCGGCGCUAACCUGACUUCCAAAGCUGGUGAUAGCCCUGUUUCGUCUGUUCUACCUCGAUCCAGCCCAAGCACAAAGCAGACUGCGAUACACCUCCCUCCAGGCGAAGUUUCCACCAGCUGAGUCAAAACAAGUGCGGUUUCAGCUGCAACGUGGAUUUGAUGAAGCCGAACAGUAAAACCUCAUCUACUUUACACCACAUGUCCACCGACCGUUCCUUACUCAUCAGCUAAUCGCUUACAUCCCAGAUUCCAGCGCAGAAUCCGUCACGGAAUCACAAAAAAACAGGAAAAAAUAAACCCCCAGAGAAAACACCAAAUCUUUCAGAGCAGCGAUCUCUCUCUCAGGGUACAAGACUCAAAUUCAUUUAUUAAUAUGAAUAAGACAAUAUAAAAUAAAAAUUAAUCAGAAACAAGCAAUAAUUAAUUAAUUGAUUGAUUGAUUAAUAAUAAUAAUAAUAAUUGGCACCCUGUCCAGGGUGUACCCCGCCUUGUGCCCGAUGCUCCCUGGGAUAGACUCCAGGUUCCCCGUGACCCUGAAAAGGAUAAGCGCUAUAGAAGAUGGAUGGAUGGAUAACACAAUAUAAAAUAAAAAUUAAUCAGAAACAAGCAGAAGCUACUUUACAUAAAAGCAGAUAUAUAAUAUCUGGAAAAGGAGAAGUAUCUUGAAAUAAAACAGUCCAUUUAAAUUUUUUUUAGAAGAAAUAAAGCUACUUUAUAUGUUUUGGGGAAAAAACAUUCAAAAAAGAUAUUAAAUAAAUCAAGGAUUUUAGAACUUUAAGUAACUUUAAUAAAAGCAGGCAACUUUGGAAAGAAGAAUUUCAAGACUAUAUUAAAAAAUCUAGGGUUAGGGAGAAAUAAAUCAGGUUUAAUUCACUGACACAGCUUUACAUAAAAUCAGAAAAUAAAUAACGGCAAAUAAAUAAAGGUGGGAGUAAGUUUAGAUAAAAGUUUGAAAAUGUUUUUUUUAAGUAAUAAAAGUCUCUCUCUCUCUUUCUCUUAAACAACUUAUAAUAAAAAAGAACCCAAAUAAAUAAGGGAAUUAAGAAGGGAGAAGGGAGAACUUUAAAAAAGCAAGGAACUGAAUUUAAAAAGUAAUUUCUUUAUUUUUUUCAGUUUUUAAAAAAAAAAUUUUUUAAAAGUUUUUAAAGUAAAAGUAGUCGACUUUUGAAAACUUUAAAUAAGGCAACUAAAAAAAAAAAAGAUAACUGCCUUGACCCUUUCCAGGACGAACGAUUAUUGUCCAAUCAAAACCAUCCAAUCAAAUUAUUCAACUUGUCUAAAAUAAUAAAAGUUAUUUAUUUAUCCAUCCAUCCAUCCAUCUUCUAUACCACUUUAUCCUUUUCAGGGUCACGGGGGAACCUGGAGCCUAUCCCAGGGAGCAUGGGGCACAAGGCAGGGUACACCCUGGACAGGGUGCCAAUCCAUCACAGGGCACAAUCACAUACACUCACACACCCAUUCAUACACUACGGACACUUUGGACACGCCAAUCAGCCUACCAUGCAUGUCUUUGGACUGGAGGAGGAAACCGGAGUACCCGGAGGAAACCCCCGCAGCACGGGGAGAACAUGCAAACUCCACACAGACAGGGCCACGGUGGGAAUCAAACCCCCGACCCUGGUGGUGUGAGGCGAAUGUGAUAACCACUAAGCCACUGUGCGCCCUUUAUUAUUUAUUUUUACUUAAUGAAAUCAUGAUGGAUUCCUUGCUUUCGCUUCUUCGGCACGAAAUCGGGAGGAAACGCCAGCAAAGCGCUAAACCUUACACGAGGAGGAAAUCCUGCACGCUGCAACUAACAGUGAUGAAUCGUAAACGACCGUGCACACUGCAGCCGCAACACCACAACCCUCUACUUCCUGUUUUACAAGAUCCUCAUUUCUCAAAUACACCGGCUGGAGUGGUAAUGUCGCUGAAGGCGUUCGCUGACCCGGCUCUUUUUGUAAAGAAAGAAAAUGACAAAAUCACAAUGGUUUUUAUUUUCUCUUUUAUUUAAAAUAAAUAGCCACAUAAAUAAAACAACUCUCUCUCUCUCUCUCUCACACACACACACACUUUCACACAUUCAAGACAUUUACAGUUCAGCAAGCAAAUCAGGGGGGAAAAUAUCCAAAAACAAGCUCUCUUUACAGUUCUACAUCAAAUAAAAUCAAAUGAUAAAAUAGUGUUUAAUAUUAUUGUAAAGGCAUUAACACUAAAGAAGUCUUCUCUAGCCCAGCACUGGAAACAACACUAUUUUCAGAAGGAGAAAUAUGUAUUAUAAAGUGCAUUAUCGUGAAAAAUAGAGGGGGGGGGGGGGGGGGGGGG
Molecule: long non-coding RNA, 2613 nt
Organism: Ictalurus punctatus (channel catfish)
Lineage: Eukaryota; Metazoa; Chordata; Actinopteri; Siluriformes; Ictaluridae
Exons: 2
Source: RefSeq, a predicted model, not a curated record